Molecule: long non-coding RNA, 890 nt
Organism: Cyprinus carpio (common carp)
Lineage: Eukaryota; Metazoa; Chordata; Actinopteri; Cypriniformes; Cyprinidae
Source: Ensembl
GUCAUCUCAUGAUGUUCAGGGUCUUGCUGCUCCUGUUUGCCGUGGCUGGUCUCCAUGCAAGACCACUGCACCGAUUCCCAAAUGGUAAAUUAAAACCAAUUGGGCCACAAAUGGUCCAAGAUGAACACAGGGAUAGCUCAGUUCUGAAGCACAUGAACACUGAUGUGAAACCCAAGAAGCAACUACCAGUUCCCGCUGAGUUCUGCAGACAGGGAACAGAACCUUCCAGACGCUUCCUGAUGGACCUGAACACUGGGAUGCUCAAGCGUGGAGUUGGCAAAGUGAACGGAAAAGUUUCAAGAUUGGAUGAGCUCAAACAAGGCACUGAGAACCAGCUGCACACCCUGCAAGAGCUCAGAAUGCGUCCCAUGAUGAGAUCGCAGUACAUCGCUCAGAGCGAAAAACACGAGCAGAGAGCGAUCCCUGCCGAGGUGUACAGAAAAGGCACUGAAACUUCCAGAAAUGUCCUGAUGGACCUGAACACCGGUCUGCUCAAAGAACACAUGAACAAGAUGGACAGGAGAGUAGUGGCAGCUAAAUGGGAAGUGGUUUCUGAGCAUGAGGAUAUAAGAAGCCAAGACUCUUCUGAACAUAAGGAGAACCACAAAGCAGUUCCUGUUGAGAUCCGCAGACAGGGAACAGAACCUUCCAGACGCAUCCUGAUUGACUUGAACACUGGGAUGCCCAAGGAGGAACUCAGCGAAAUGAACAGAAGAGUUUCUGGCUUCUACAAUCCAGCACCUAUUGAGAAGAGGCAAGGAACAGAACCUUCCAGACGCUUCCUGAUGGACAUGGACACUGGGAUGCUCAAGCACGAAGUUAGCGAAAUGAACAGAAGAGUUUCCGGCUGUAUGUCUCUAAAGUCACUUUUAAAAUGUCAAUGCAUAUAA